UUUUGUUUUGUGUAUGCAUGCUGUGUGUAGACGAAUGAAUGAUGCGAUGGACUGAUGUAGUUUCGGAGGAUGGGGGUUUCGGAGAUGAUUUGCGCGUGCCGCGUGUGGCCUUUCGUUGCCUCUGCGCUAUCGAAUUUAUUUACAUCGUACGGCAGACAAGUAUGUACUGCUGGAAUGUUAAAGUUGGUAUGCUGCUGCACUCGUCUCCGUUAAUUCUGUUACCAGCAGUCUGUUACUCCAUCUCCCGUUGCUGCCUGGAUCCAUG
This 265-nucleotide long non-coding RNA is filed under the name Volvox carteri. Its description in RNAcentral is "long non-coding RNA (VCAR_LNC000895)". Lineage: Eukaryota; Viridiplantae; Chlorophyta; Chlorophyceae; Chlamydomonadales; Volvocaceae. The record is from RNAcentral.